GGCCCAUUGCAAUCCUUUAGGAAAAGGUCUGUCAUGUACCUACAUAAGGCAAUACAGUACUUAAUAACCUGAAUGCUAAGGAAAUAUUUACCACUGAGAAGUCAAGGCUAUAAGGGGACUUUACACAGCAUGACCACUACUGAGGAAAAAGGAUGAGUAUAUAGCAGUGUUUCUCAAACUUUUUCAGACCAAGGACCACUUAGCCAAUAAAAAAAAAACUUGCGGACCAUCUAACUAAACAUAGCACAAAAAGUAAGGAAAUUUGUGUUUGGUAGAUUAUUUCUUUGUUGUAACAAUGCUUCUUGGCAAUACAUCUUAUACCGUUGGAAAGCCUGUUUAUUUCCCUUUUUUUUUAAUUUAAAUUAUGCCACAUUUGUAAGGAACAUAAAAUGCCUAUACAAAGGGCUCUGGUGAUUUGAAAAGGUAGACAAAGCCCCUGAUAUUUCAUUUUUAUCUCACUCGCACAUUGCCCUAAGUCUCAUUUGAUUCAAGCUCAGAUUCAGCCUGAGCUGAGGCGUGAAGGGACUGUUGGAAGUCGUCUAAAUCAUUGACAAAAUGCCUCUUCAGGACUCUGGAGAGAAUGUAGGCUGUUCCGUUAAAAAUGAGUACAGAUUCACAUGGAUGCUUGGCAUGUCUAAUCAUGUAACACACAUCACACAGGGAAUUAACCAGGAGUCUUCUGAGCCCAUGAUUGUGUUGCUCAUUAUCACUCAGGGUAUCACGCAGGUGGAAAGAGAGCAUAUUUACAUACGCUCCGAUCCCUCGUCGUUUGCAUAGUCAUUCUUUCAUGACUGAAACCAUGAAAUUACCAUGCCAACAAGUUAAAGGAUUAGGGAGACUUGUAUGACAAUGAAUGACAAGUAGCCUGAACCCCAAGCAGACUAAAGUUAUUAAAAUGACAAAACUUUAGGGCCUUUCCACGAUUUUUAUUACCACAGAAUUUCCAGAAACUGGACUCUGAAAUCUUUCAGUCAUUUGAGGUUUUAUGGAUGACACUGCCAUCCAGUGGACUAAUGUUGAUCUGCGGCGGAAAAUAAUAAAUACAUAGAUAAAUAAGUAAUGUCCAGGGCAUGAUCAGAUAGCAACCAAUCGUUGAGAGGUUUUAUCUUUCAUUGUCUUAUCUAAACAGCAAUCAGGUAUUGUUAAGAGAGAAUCAGCGACGACAUUGGUCUCUCUAGAGAAGCUUGCAACAGCCUUCAUACUCGGAUAUGAUGCUUGCUAUUUGCUAUUAGUUAAAAUUACAAUGAUGUAAAAGAUGAUAAAAUUAUGAAUCGGUGCAUGAGUCAAGAUUAAUAAAUCCAGAUAUGAACCCUGUACUCUAACGUCAUCAAACACGUCUAUGGAAUGUCGUGGAGUAUGGCGCCACCUUCUGGUAAACUUGCGAACUGUGGAAUGUAGGUAGAUUACGUCAUUGUCUGGGAAAAAUCAAUUUAUGGGUCAUCUACUAGGUCGCUCUAAAUAGCACGCAUCAGUUUGGGAAUCAUAAAUUAGAAAUAUUGGUAAAUGAAGACGACUUUGGUUUGGCCUAUCCAGGUUCAUGUAUAAAUGGUUGAGUACUAUGAAGACCAGACAGUAUGUAUAAAGUGUUAUUAAAUGUAUAUAUUUUAGAAAUUGGGCAGCUACCAUGGGUGCAAUUCCCCUGGAGACACCAACUGACAUGAAAUAAUUACCAUGCCAACAAGGUAAAGGAUUAGGGAGACUUGUAUGACAAUGAAUGACAAGUAGCCUGAACCCCAAGCAGACUAAAGUUAUUAAAAUGACAACACUUUAGGGCCUUUCCACGGUCUUAAUUACCACAGAAUUUUCAGAAACUGGACUGAAAACCGAAAGUCACUAGUUCAUAUUGUGAAAGGUAUAGGCUGCUUCUCUCUGCUUGUUAAAAUAGAUUUUCUAGAAAGACGACAGACCUUGCAAUAACAAGCCGUCAAUAAUCAAUGUGUUUGUCUCAGGGUCUCAUGAGCUACUUUCCGUGGCAACGGAAAAUAUCUAGCCAUGCAACAAUAUUAGAUUAUAUUGGUUAGCCUAGCUGCGAAUUUAGCCUAACCCUUUUCGUCAUGACCGAGCGGCAUUACGUCGGGCGAGCCGCAUCAAACGGUCAGAUACGUAUUGGAUUUUAUUAAGCAGAAUAGGAAUAUUAUUUGCUCGAUUAAAAAAAUACAAAUAAUAACGCGAGAGUUUGCAAGUUGGCUCCAGACUGUAGUUACAACUGUCAAAGGUAGAGUGGAUACGCGCAUGACCAGGCACACAUUACUGUAUUACUGUACACGGCCGCGAAGAUAAUAUCCGUAUAAAAAAUAGGCAUAAUCCAGAGCGGGGGCUACGAGCGUGGCUACCGACCGUGACGGCUGUCCGUCCGCAACGAACCCGGCACACGGGACGGCGGCAGGUGUGAUUGCCAUGUAACAUCAAAAGGCACCGAGCGAAGACUAGGCUACAGCCUGACCCCACGUGGGUGACCCGGGUCACCCGGCCACUCUUGUUGGGUGGUUCCAGCUUUCCAGGCAUGGAGACCUCCAGUGGUGCGCGACUAGGGAAGCCCCCCCCAGGGGUGGCCAAGGGCCGGCCUCCCAAGCAGGCCCACCCCCCUGAGACGGCCCGCACGGGCAGCUCGGAAAACGACAAUCACGGUGAAUAUACAACCGCCAGCCUCACACGCACACACACACACACACACACACACGUUAAACACUCACACGAUACACAAAUGCACUCACACACACAAACCCCAAAAACAUACACAUACAGCGCCCACCCCACACCCAAACAUACAUACAGACACACACACACACACACACACACACACACACACACAUUCCCUACUCUGCCUGGCAAGUGUGUACCUUAUCGGCCGAGGCCUCGCCGUAGGCAGUGGAGUGGCAUGGAUUAGAUGAGACUAAAGUGCCGCAGCGAAUGACACCCUUGUCUACAGGAGGGGCUUUGAUGUGGCGGCGCUCUGGUUGCCGUGCGCCGCGGAACUGUACAAUCUCUGGACACGCGUGACACGCCGUUUCUACAUCUGAGAACCUGUGGAGAAGCAGGGGGGGGGGGGGGGGCGUUCUGAACACUACAUCACCCAUGUGGAGGCAAAUUGUCUGUGAAUUAAGCCUAUAGGGGCC
Molecule: long non-coding RNA, 3116 nt
Organism: Clupea harengus (Atlantic herring)
Lineage: Eukaryota; Metazoa; Chordata; Actinopteri; Clupeiformes; Clupeidae
Source: Ensembl